UAAGUUGCCAGUUUGAGCUUGUGUGUGUUUGUACUUUGGUACUUUGUCGUCUUCGUUUGCGUGCCCGUUUUUCGCAUGGACCAAUCAGCGCUGAUCCCGGGCUUUUCUACCUCGUUGAAAAUAAAAACCGCCUCCUUGACGAAACACAUUUUCUUAAACAUGGUAACGUAUGAAUACGCAAAAAAUUUCGAAAUAUAUUUAAACUGUCGAGGAAAUACUUCAAUUAUAUAAACUUAGUAAUAUCGUUUUACAAAUUCAAACCAAAUGUUCACGUGAGGCACUCUUUCUUUGCGCGGGUAACCGCGCGCGGCGUAUGAAUGUUUAUUUAAGUCAAAUCUGAAAAAACCGUUGCACAGAAGAAGAGUCUCCGGCGAAACAGUACGAGGUUUCAGAUGAAGCGUCAUCCAAAAUUGAUUGUGAUUAAGAGAAAUGGAGAAGACGGUUCCGAAUACCCGGUCACCACAGGCCGCUGCGAGAUUGGAAGGCUGCGGCAGUAGAAAGACCCG
This is a long non-coding RNA of Ornithodoros turicata, 506 nucleotides long. RefSeq lists it as uncharacterized. The record is from RefSeq and is a predicted model, not a curated record. NCBI's taxonomy places the organism in Eukaryota, Metazoa, Arthropoda, Arachnida, Ixodida, Argasidae. The transcript has 3 exons.